AACAACACGGCCAAGGGCAGUGCCGGCAGGUCGGGGGCUGUCACAAGAUGGGAAGUCUCACUGUGGAAAACGCGGGGGGCUGGGAGGCCACAGUGAAGGUGGUGCUGAGCGUGGCCCUGCCCGCUCUCCUCCAGGGCAUCAGCUUUUCCGAGUGGCAGGCAGUGAGUCGCCCCUCGGAAGUGGCUGAGCCGCUGCAGGCGGAGGAAGUAGACGGGUGAUUCAGUGAGUGUCGGCUUCCUCUCUGACUCGGGGUUGAAUCCGCUUCAUAGGGUGGUGCCAGGGGCCCAUGUGGCUUUAGCUAGCUUCUUUGAACUUGGAGUCAAAACGGAGGCUCUGACCCCUGUGGUUGCUGGCCCUCCUUUGACCCUUUCAGAUACUUGCCUCUGCCCCUGAGAACAUGGUCAGGAAAGGGCUGACUUGGUGAAGACCGACGUCUCAAAACUGCGACAGGGCCUCUGUGUUCCGUGCCCCAGUAACCUGGCACGCUGGUCUUCUUCCAGACAAGUGACCACAUUCCAGGGAUGGACGGAGGGCUUGCACAGUGAGAGUGUCACAAAGCUGCCACAUGAGGGGCCCCUCCUGCCCGCUUCCUCCUGCAGAGCCUCCCUCGGCCGGCCCUCGUCCCUGCCCUCUUCCUCUUUUCGCGCCGUGUGUUGCCACACAGGAUCCCCCACUUGAGGAGACUGGAGGUGUGCCCUGCCCCGGGGGGUUGGCUGCCCUUUAAGUGAGUGACUGCUGAACAACUGGGGUUUCAAAGCCCAAAGAAACGGUCUUCUAGGGCUUGACUAGAGCUGAGGGCUUCCACCUGGGCAGACGGGUCUGCUUUGCUUGCUCAGAGGACCAGGCCAGUGGUCGGCCUGCUCCCAGUCCAGUGUCUCCAAGUCUUCCUUCCUUGGUGUGUGUCUGGUGUGAGGCAGGUGCCCUUUCCCUCUCCAGCCAAGGCCACUGUGUCGCUCAGCGUGGCUAGGAUGUAUGUCGCUGCCAGUGGAGCCUGGCUCGGGCUCCUGGUGCUAUCUCUCUGCCGCUCCCGCCCCGCCCCAGAACUGUAUUGAUCAGCUAGCAGAUAAGAAAAGGCAGCUCUGUGUGCUUCCAAACCCAUCCCCUCUCCCCCCAUACUUUGCUUUCAUAAAUAUUGGUUACCAUGCAUGUGUUUUCCAUGACCUGGUGACUUCCGGCUGCUCUAGCCAAUGGAGUCGGAGCUGUGAUACUCAGAUAAAAGGCUUCAUGGGCAUGACUCAUUCUUGGAGACACUGAACCUGCCUGGCUGUUGUUAAGUGCCUGGUUCUGUAAAUAUUGACAGUUAGAAACCAUCCUAAGAGCUACCAGGCAAUGAUCUGGAAGGUAAGGGGCAUGAAUACGACCAGCGAGGAGGCAACGCUCCUCCUUUGCUAAGAUGCAGCCACUGAUGAAUAUCAGCCCAUUAUCUCUCCUCCCAACAGUGGCUCGACCGCUUGCACGGGACUCACGGUUGGUAGGUGACAGGGUCUGAUUUGGCAAGAACAGUCUGGUCUGCUUCAACAGAGAACAAAUGGCUUCCCAGGCCCCUCCAGGCUCCAGGUUCCCUGCUUCUUAACAAGCGUGGUUUUGCCAACGAGGAAUUGCUCCAAAGCAGUUGCCAUCGCUGACAAACUGAAGAAGGCACAGAGGACUGAGGGGCAGAACAGCGCCUCCCACCGUUCCGAGCCAACGUUGUCACCCCCGCCUGUCCCGUGGGCACGUUUAUGUUACAGCUCACCUGUGGGCACACCUCCACCAGGGGCGGCCUCUGCAGUCAAGUCAUUGCCCUUGGGCUGGCGGGCACCAUUCUCCAAGGAGGGAGAAGGCGCAUCUCUGCUGGUGCAGAAAUGGGUUUUAUCUCUCACUCUCCCUUUCCAACACUUAGAAUAAGUGUAUCAUUACCCAAAUGUACACGAUGCCUUCCGACGGGUUGGCUGUUUGGUUUACUGAGUGUUAUUUUGGGGCAGGAACUUCCCAUCUGAGUCACAGUUUUUUUGAAUGGCCCUAGUCUAUUUCCUACAUGGCUCUGUGCACAGGGUUCGUCUGGCCAAAUCAGAACUUUUCAGCUGGCAGGUUUCGAACUCGAGUCUUUGGCAGACUGGUAUGCUGGCCGACAGCGUUGCCCUUGGUCGAGGGGGCAUGCGCAUGUCUGUAGCCCUCGGCAAAAUCUCUUGGCGUUUACUGUGUUGCCAUGGUGAGAUCUGAGCCCCACUGGCACCAACUCGCCAGGAGGCCGCGCAGCCUGAGCAUGCAGGGGAGCAGCUGUGACCUCCACGGGAGCCCUCUCUGCCAUGACCUGGCUGUGUGACUCCGGGCAAGUUACUUAAGUGCUCUGAGCCUCAGAUUCCUUAUUUGUCGAAUGAGGAUAACAGUUCCUAUCUUGCAAGGCUAGUGUGAAUCGGAAUAAAGCAUUUAACACACGUGAA
Artibeus jamaicensis (Jamaican fruit-eating bat) is the source of this 2423-nucleotide long non-coding RNA. RefSeq lists it as uncharacterized. The record is from RefSeq and is a predicted model, not a curated record. The transcript is spliced from 3 exons. NCBI's taxonomy places the organism in Eukaryota, Metazoa, Chordata, Mammalia, Chiroptera, Phyllostomidae.